CCAUCCGCCUCUCCCCCACGCCCGGUCACCACGCUCUCUACACCGGGCACUCCAGGCGAGGCAACUAACUCCGGGAAAAUGUAUUUCUUGCAUUGGCACAAACACAUACAUACAUACAUACAUACAUACAUACAUACAUACAUACAUACAUACAUACAUACAUACAUACAUUUGGAGUGGCUGCGUAGAGUAUUGGCAGUCUGAGUCGGGGUCGGGAGCACACAAGACUAACCGACUUGUGCUGUGUGCUCCCGACCCUUGCGCUGUGUUUCGGCUUCGGCCCCCGGCUCUCGCGGCCCACAGUGUAAUCUAAGUCAUACAUACAUACAUACAUACAUACAUACAUACAUACAUACAUACAUACAUACAUACAUACAUACAUACAUACAUACAUACAUACAUACAUACAUACAUACAUACAUACACACAUACACAUGUGUCAGGGAGCGGUGGGGUACUUUUCCGUCGCUCCGUGUCCCACGGGUUUACGUCUACGUGGGUUCUCCUCCGGCUGACCCACAUGGUUCAACUGGACCGCCGUACUUGUCGUACCACAUGGACACCCCACAUUCCUCGGUGCUCAUUCCUGCUUCUACUGCCCGGUCAUGCAUGCAUGGUGGUGGUGGUGGCGGUGGUGGUGGUGGUGGUGCUAUUGCUUGUGGC
Molecule: long non-coding RNA, 663 nt
Filed under: Volvox carteri
Lineage: Eukaryota; Viridiplantae; Chlorophyta; Chlorophyceae; Chlamydomonadales; Volvocaceae
Description: long non-coding RNA (VCAR_LNC002512)
Source: RNAcentral